Molecule: ribosomal RNA, 254 nt
Filed under: uncultured bacterium
Lineage: Bacteria
Description: partial 16S ribosomal RNA
Rfam family: Bacterial small subunit ribosomal RNA
Source: RNAcentral
UACGUAGGGUGCGAGCGUUGUCCGGAAUUAUUGGGCGUAAAGAGCUCGUAGGCGGUCUGUCGCGUCGAUCGUGAAAACUUGGGGCUUAACCCUGAGCUUGCGGUCGAUACGGGCAUGACUGGAGUUCGGCAGGGGAGACUGGAAUUCCUGGUGUAGCGGUGAAAUGCGCAGAUAUCAGGAGGAACACCGGUGGCGAAGGCGGUUCUCUGGAACGCAACUGACGCUGAGACGCGAAAGCGUGGGGAGCAAACAGG